RNAcentral lists this ribosomal RNA (497 nucleotides) under uncultured bacterium. RNAcentral describes it as "partial 16S ribosomal RNA". It matches the Rfam family "Bacterial small subunit ribosomal RNA", at positions 28 to 507 of the family's 1533-position model. The record is from RNAcentral.
GAUGAACGCUGGCGGCGUGCCUAAUACAUGCAAGUCGAGCGAACAGAUGAGGAGCUUGCUCCUCUGACGUUAGCGGCGGACGGGUGAGUAACACGUGGAUAACCUACCUAUAAGACUGGGAUAACUUCGGGAAACCGGAGCUAAUACCGGAUAAUAUAUUGAACCGCAUGGUUCAAUAGUGAAAGACGGUUUUGCUGUCACUUAUAGAUGGAUCCGCGCCGCAUUAGCUAGUUGGUAAGGUAACGGCUUACCAAGGCAACGAUGCGUAGCCGACCUGAGAGGGUGAUCGGCCACACUGGAGCUGAGACACGGUCCAGACUCCUACGGGAGGCAGCAGUAGGGAAUCUUCCGCAAAGGGCGAAAGCCUGACGGAGCAACGCCGCGUGAAUGAUGAAGGUCUUCGGAUCGUAAAACUCUGUUAUUAGGGAAGAACAAAUGUGUAAGUAACUAUGCACGUCUUGACGGUACCUAAUCAGAAAGCCACGGCUAACUACGUG